This is a non-coding RNA of Nerophis lumbriciformis (worm pipefish), 3329 nucleotides long. The record is from RefSeq and is a predicted model, not a curated record. NCBI's taxonomy places the organism in Eukaryota, Metazoa, Chordata, Actinopteri, Syngnathiformes, Syngnathidae.
UCAGGCCGUAAGGCUCUUGAACGCAUCAUAAUGAAAUUAUCCCCUCAACUCCCCCCAAAAUUGAUUAACUCGCUGGAAUAAAAAAGACAAUAUAACAAACAUCCAUAAACGUGGACGCAUGUGAAAAAGUGCAAUAUAUUUAUCUGUACAGUAACCUAUUUAUUUAUUUAUAUAUGCACCUUAUUGCUCUUUUAUCCCGCACUACCAUUAGCUUAUGUAACACAAUUUCGUUCCUAUUUGUACUGUAAAGUUCAAAUUUGAAUGACAAUAAAAAGGACGUCUAAGUCUAACUAGUCUUAACAAGACCUGUCCAUACCUGCCAACUUUUGAAAUCAGAAAAACCUAGUAGCCAGGGUCCAAGGGCCACAGGCCCCGGUAGGUCCAGGACAAAGUCCUGGUGGGGGGUUCCUUCGCCCCCCGACGCAAAAUGAUUAUUAGCAUUCAGACAGGUUAAAAUGUUGCACAUUUGUUAAUCAUUGAACACUUUUGGAUGUCAUCUCUUAUUCAUUACAACUAGCCAGCCAUACCAAUAAAAUGCAGCCCGGACCUUCUUUGUCGAUUGUUACUUUACCUACAACAGUAUUAUAAAAAUGUUUAAAGUCAAACCCCAAAAUUAAUAUGCACUGUAUAAUCUAUUUGUGAAGGUCAUUGUGUAUACUAACAUUACUUGCUGGGCAGACGCCAUUAGCGUUACCGCAACCUCUCAAAGGACCACUCGUUGUCACAACAGUUAAAUAUUUUCACUUCACAACAUUACAUGGUUAACCAACUAAAAAAUAUUAGGAUACUUACCUCUCCAAGUCUUCUGUCACAAGCGUUGCAGUUGUCGUUUCCAAAAACGUUCCCGCUUCUUCUUCUCUUUCUUCUUCUUCCUCGUUUUCGUUCGAGGUCGGCGCACACAACGUUAAAAUGUUACGCCACCUACUGUUUUCCCGCUUCUUCUUCUUCUGACGUUGAUGGCAAACAACGCGUCAUGUCCGCCGCUAUCUAAUAGAAGGCGUGAAUUUUCUGAAUUGCCUUCCUUUGAAAGUUACACAUAGCCAAAAAUGGCUAUUUUCAGAUGGACAUAUAAGGAGAAAAUCAACUUUAUCUAAAUUUUGAGAUGUGGAUCUGUCUCAUCAACAUUCUCGCGAGAUUUAGCACGGCGCCCCAUGAAUCUGUCCAAUCAUAUUUGCUCUUCCUGGAAAACACGCAUGCGCAUUUAGUGGGCGAAUGUGACUUGUAUCGAUUGGAGGAAACAAUUCAGCAUCAAAGGAAUAACGACUGAAAGUAAGUAAUACCAUUUAUUGUUUUUGUUUUGGUAUUUAAAUUACUUUAACACACACGAGUUAUUAUUCAUCAAACUAAUGUAACGUCACUGUGUUACGAAAAUAGAGCUAUAAAUGCCGCAUUCUACGGCGCAACCACCUUGCCCGAAGCUAUGAUACUUACCUCCACCGAGGCAUCGCAAGUGAUAAGAUACACUUUAUACAUCCCAUAGUGAAAUAACAAUGAUAGAAAUACAUGUACAGAGAACAUUGGAAGUGGAACAAUAUAAAUUACUGAACAUACACUGCUUCAACAUAAUAUAGAGUUUUACAUUUACAAGAAGUUCCACUGUGUAUUCCAGCAACCUUUGUCUGUAUUUACAUAGUAUUGGAGUGUCAAAAUGACAAAACGAAAACCUGCAAAACGAUGGAGAAGAACCGGUAAAGAAGUCGACUCAAAUAAACGAUCAAGAAGGACUGUACAAUUGCCACCAAUGUGAAUGUGGAGACUGAUGAGCAAUGUCUAAGAGGUAGCAGCAGGGGAACAGAAGGAGCCCAAAACACUGCUCUUCAUAUGGAACACAUCCAACCUCCGGGUGUCCAUGCAGGAUGUACCACUCUGGAACAUCAAGCCUCUCCCUACCCGCCAGCACAUGAAAAUAUUUCUACUUUUGACUCUAUCAAAGACAAUGGAAAACCAUUUUCCAGAUCAGCCAUCAUAGAUCCUCCUGAUGGCCUAACAACUGAACUACAUGUCGAUGCUGAGUAUGAUCCAUCUCAAUCAUUUGAGGAAUCUCUCCCUGAUAUGGGGGAUUGGAUGUACAAUGACGGACAUACGUUUAAUGAAGGAUUUGAAGAUAGUUUGAGUGAGGAGUGUGCAGAAGAGUCAAAUAUCAAGGACACAACAGACAAACCAUUAUAUGACAAUGCAUCAGUAACCGUGGCAGAGUGCCUUCUGAUCAUCAUGGCUUAUGAAAACUGUCAUAAAGUCACUGAUAAGGCCCUAUAAGCGAUUUGCUGAAAAUGUUCAAGUUGCUUUGUCCCGAUAGUCUGAAUGCAGACUGCUUAAACAGUUUGCAGAAGUUCAAAAAUUGUCUUUUAUCCCGCUCUGCAUCAUCGCCUAUUUUAUUACAUAAAUACUGCAGUAAUUGUUUUGGGCCAUUAGAAAGUAAACAAAUAAAAUGUCUGUCUUGUGGGACCAGUGUGUCAGAAGAAAGAUCCUCAUCCUUUAUAGAGGUUCCAAUUAAGGCUCACAUAAGGUCAUUGUUCCUCAAGCCAGGUUUUCAGGAGAAGCUUAACUUCAGAUUGAGCAGAAAGAAGGCAGAUGCUAACAACAUUGAAGAUAUAUAUGAUGCAGAAGUUUACAAACAGCUUGUCGAUAGGGGUGGUCCUCUUAGUGACCCUAAAAACAUCUCACUUGGAACACCGAUGAAGACAAAAAUGGAUAUUUGUUAAUGCUCAUACAUGGUACUCAAAAUAUACCUAUGCAGAUGGUAAAUGUAGUCAAACUUGUACAGUCUAUUCCUGUUAUUUCACAAACUAUUAAACAAGGGAAUGUCAUAGCUGAAUUUUACAGACAUAUGACUAAAGAUGAUAGUUUCUGUCAGGAAAACAAAUAUUUGUCUAGGAUUAAACUAUAUGGAGCACCUAGUGAACUUCUAUUGGACACAGUUCACCUCUCUGCAUUGCAAAUACAUGCUGGUCACUGCAUCAAUUCUGGAACAGUAAGCAUAUUUCACAGGGCACAAGUUAAGAGAAAUUAUCUCACAUCAAAACACUAUGGUAAAGGUAAUAGAAGAAACAAUUUUACAGUUUUUUUUUCAAAUGACGGACAAGCAAAGUAUGGACAGAUUGAUUUCUUCUUUAUCAUAGCACAAUCAUGUGCCAAAUGGGCCCUCCUUCGUGAAUUCAAACAUGCAGGUUUUUCUUUGCUGCAAGAUAGUGUAACAAAUGGUACAUGAAGUCAUGUUAUUCCCCUAUUGGAAACCUCUGCCAGUACAGUAGUAUGAUUGGAUGACAUAUUGGGUAAAGUUGUUUUCCUUGACUUCACAUCUGUGCCUGGCAUUGUGUUUGCAGUUCAUU